UCGCGGCCCGCGCGCGCUGUUUUGAGCUGUGGCGGCCAUGGCGGGCGCGGCGGCGGCUCCGCAGUUCCAGGUGCCGCUCGCCCUGGCCGACCUGCUGCGGGACGAUGGCCGCGGGCACUACGUGGUGCAGGAGGUGCUGCCCGUCCAUGAGCUGCCGCCCUCCCUCGCAGCCUUCCGGGCCGCCUUCCGUGCGCGGGGCGCUCUGGCCGUGCUGCAGCACUUCGACGCCGGGUACAGCGUGCUCUACCACUUCCGAACCGUGGGCACCGCUGUCAAGGAGAACGCCCUGGAGCUGAUGGUGAACGUGGUGUCCCAUCAUUCCAAUGAACUUCCCGGCAUCCUGAGCGACUCUGGGCUGAGCCAUGCAGACCGUGCCGCUCACCUCAAUGCUCUUAAGAUGAACUGCUACUUGCUGACUUCCCUGAUGGAUGCCUUUGAAAUAGAAACCUGCAAGAACAGUUUGUUGGAGGCAGGUUGUGGUGGGAAGAACAAGAAGAACCAUGCCAAGACUUCUGGAUCCUUGUGGGAAGAGGAGAGGGAGCCAGUCUUACAGCUGCUUACGCAGGUGCUGCAGCUGGAUCUCCGUCAGCUUUGGGGUGGUUUAUCAGUGGAAGAAGAGUUUGUCAGCUUAAUGAUGGGAAGCUGCUACCGUAUCCUGGAGAAUCCCAGUAUCGGUCUUCAGAGGUAUCGUGCCACACGGGAGGCUGUGAUGCAUCUGCUUGCUGGAGCUCUGAUUCACUGUGGUCAAAUGUUUGGUGCCACUCUGAAGAUCACCCAGAUGCUGCAGUGCUUUGAACAUGUAGCCCCAGUGUUUGCACAGGCCGUGAGCCUCUGGGCUGAAGAGUAUGGUCUGAAAAGCCUGGUGGGUGAAUUGCUAAGGGAAAUUGGACAGAAAUGUCCGCGGGAUUUGGCUCGUGAGGCUUCUGGAGUCAAGGGUUAUUCUACCUUUAUAACAGAACUGGCCGGACAGAUUCCAGCUCUGGUGCUAUCCAACAUGAGUGUCCUCCUGCACCACUUGGAUGGAGAGAGUUACAUGAUGCGAAAUGCCAUUCUGGCAGCUAUGGCAGAAGCGCUGAUGAAGGUGCUGAAUGGUAACGAGCUGGACGAAGCUGCCCGUGGUACUCGGGACGAGUUCCUGAGUCUGCUGCAGGCCCACAUGUGUGACGUCCAUAGCUUUGUGCGCAGCCGCGUGCUGCAGCUUUUCACUCGAAUCGUUCAGUGCAAGGCCCUGCCUUUGACUCAGUUCCAGUCUGUGGUAUCACUGGCUGUUGGGCGUCUCAAUGACAAAUCUGUCAUAGUAGUUAAAAAUGCAAUCCAGCUCCUGGCUGCGUUUUUGUCCAACAACCCCUUCUCCUGCAAGCUAAACUGUGCUGACUUUGAAAAGCCACUGAAGAAAGAAGUGCAGAAACUGCAAGAAAUGAGGGACCGUGUCAGAUCCACAGCAGCUCCAGUGAUCACUCCAGAGGAAGAGUGGGAAGCGAUGCUACCAGAAGUUAGGGCUGCCAUACAACAGCUCUUUCAACCACAGCAGGAAAAGGAAGAGGAGGUGCUGGAAGUUGAGGAAACAGUGGAGAGUGCAGUGGAGCAAAUCACUGGGCUGCUGAGAAAGCUGAAUUACAAGAGUGCAGCCCACCUUACGCAGAAGGCCCUGUGUCGCUUCCAGGGGAAGGAACCCUUCAGUGGCCCCAUGGAGGAAAAUGAGGAGGCAACAAUCCUGGAUGUUCUGAGGAGACUUUACACAGUGUGCUGUGCAGGUUCAUGCCCAGGAGAGAACAGUGAAGAUCCUCGAAAUGACGACAGUAGUCAUAAGACCAAAGAAGUUGUAAAAGAAAAGCAGUCUCAAACAGAGCUGGUCAAACAGGAGAUGUUGGUGCAAUACCUGCAAGAUGCUUACAACUUCUCAGUGAAAAUCACAGAAGCUCUGUACCUGAUCAGCAAGCUGAUGUAUGAAAGCUCUGUCUCAGUGGUGCAGGAAGCCAUUGAGUUCUUUGUGACGGUCUCACAGUUUAAUGUGCCCGAGGCACUGCUUGGAGUCCGCAGGAUGCUCCCCCUCAUAUGGUCAAAGGAGCCUGGCAUUAAGGAGGCUGUGCUGAACGCCUACAGGCAACUCUAUCUGAACCCCAGUGAGGAUUCUGAGAGGGCCAAGGCCCAGAGCCUGGUGCGUUCUCUCUCUCUCAUCAUGGUGGAUGCAUCACUAGAAACGAUACGGUGCUUAGAAGAGAUAAUCUCAGAGUUUGUGCGAAAAGAUGAAAUAAAGCCUGCUGUGAUCCAGCUGCUUUGGGAGCAAUUCACGGAAAAAUCUAAGUGCUCGUCGCUGGAACGACGUGCUGCUCUGAUGCUGCUGGGGAUGAUGGCACGAGGGAAUCCAGAGAUCAUAGGUAGCAACCUGGACAUCUUGAUAACAGUGGGGUUGUCUGAGAAGGCGUGUGAAGACUAUCGCCUGGCUCAAGAAGUAUGCAAUGUUAUCUCCAAACUUGCCAGUGACCCUAAGCCAGCAAUGGAGAAGAACAGUGCACCUUUUCGACUCUCACAGAAUCACAUGCUCUUUGGUUGCCUGAGUGAGACUAUGAGUAAAGGCUUUGCCCAGCCAAGUACUCACUGGAUCCCCUUCAUGGAUACAGCAGUAACACUCAUCUACCAGCUGGCAGAAGGGCCAGAUGAGAUAUGUGCCCACAUCCUGCAAGUGUGCAGUCAGCAAGCUCUGGAGAAGCUGCAGGAGGCUGAUGGGCAGAACUCUGAUCCAAGGGAUUCUCCCAGCAGAGACUCUGCUGGUGCUGCCAGUCUCCCCACGUUCAUGUUGGUGCACCUGGUGUCCCUUGUGGGACAAGUGGCAAUGCAGCAGGUAGCACAUUUGGAAGUGUCAGUGAGUGCAGAGCUAGGCAGACGCCGUGUCCUUAAAGAGGAGAAGACCAAGAAGCGUUCUGACAGCAGCAAACAGAAGCGGAGAUCCCAGACCACAGGAAACGAGACCACUAUGGAGGAGGAGCUGGGCCUCAUGGCAGCCACGGCCGAUGACACUGAGGCCGAGCUUAUCUGCAAUAUUUGUGAGACAGAACUUCUAGAUGGGAAGCACCUGCUCUCUGCCUUUGUUCCACUGGUGCUCAAGAUCUGCAGCAACCCUGGACGCUACAGCGAUUCAGCACUGUCAGCUGCUGCAGCCCUAACUCUUGGCAAACUCUGCAUGAUCAGCUCUGAGUUCUGUGACACCCACUUGCGUCUGCUGUUCACGAUGAUGGAGAAGUCCACUCUGCCUGGUGUGAGAUCCAACCUCAUUAUUGCAGCAGGAGAUCUGGCCAUCCGCUUCCCCAACCUGGUGGAGCCAUGGACAUCACAUCUCUAUGCCAGGUUGCAGGACCCCUGCCCAAGUGUGAGGCAGACAGCUGCACUCGUGAUGACUCAGCUCAUCCUCAAAGACAUGGUGAAGGUAAAGGGCCAAGUGAGCGAAAUGGCAGCUCUGCUGGUAGACCCAGACGAGGCAAUCGUGGGAGUGGCUCAGAACUUCUUCAGCGAACUCUCCAACAAGGAUAAUGCCAUCUAUAACCUGCUUCCAGACAUAAUCAGUCAUCUCUCCAAUCCUAACUGCAGCACAGAGGAGGAAUCCUUCCACACUAUUAUGAGGCAUCUCUUCUCAUAUAUUACGAAAGACAAACAGACAGAGCGCUUGGUGGAGAAACUUUGUCAGAGAUUCCGGACUGCCAGGUUGGGUUGUAGUCUUAAUUUUCCUGACAAGCACUUUUGCUUCUUAGGAAUUGUUAGAGGAAACAAGCUUGUGUGUGAUAGUUGCAACAGGUUCCUGUCCUAAUCUUCACGUGGCAAAGUGACAGAUGCUGACAUAACCUGGAUUAGGUCCUGGGUUUUUAACUACCUUCCUCCUAAAAAUACAUGAAUAAAUAUGUAUAAAUUAAGGCAGUGAUUGGCCCCUCUUCCCUCCUUUCUUAAGUGCAACACCCACCCCAUGAAUCUGGGAUGUCAUUUUGCUUUUAUGGUUUUAGAGUUUUUUGCUUCUUUUUGCCUGUUCCCCAUGCUUUUUUUUUUUUUUUUUUUUUCCCCAAGAAGAAAGGUAACAGAAAUUUAUUUGCCUCCCUGUCAUGUACUUCCCAAUGAUAUCUUCAUUUUAACUUCCACUGGUUUUGGUGCACCCUGCCUUCCUCCAUUCCUGUGGGUUUUCCUUCCCCAUUGUUGCGGCUUUGCCCUUGAGAUUUAAGCUGUGUCUGCUUAUCUUGGCCAUUUGUACACAGUGCCUGGGCACGUGACCCACUCAGCUGCCUCAGGGAGUUGCAUAUUUCCCAAAAUAUUUGGAUUUUGUUUCCUGAGCUGGAGUGGAAAGUGGUCCCUCUCUCCCAGGUUGCCUCCCAGGAACACUGGUGAGCUCUUCACACAACAUUUGUAAAUAACUAUCUUUGUGUAAGUUGUGUCUAGCCUGAAGUAAAAUGUCCUGAUAUUUCUGUACCACAAAGAUGAUCAGCUUGAUGAGCACUAGUGGUAAUGCCAAAGGAAGACUCUCGCUCCAGGUUAAAACAGGAGCUUAUCAGAGAAGAUUUUGCAGCUACUAUCACCCUCCUCAGCAUUGGAGUCCCAAACAUAGCAACUUGCCAAGUAUCAUUCACACUUUAAAGAUGGAAAUACCUGGUUGCUUCAGCUUUGUUCUCCAUCUGUUUGGGUUUGAGCAUUCUCAGAGAGCAGAUACAGGACAGACUUCAGGCCCUCUGCUUUGUAUAUAUUAAUAAUAGGGGCUUUGGCCACGUUUUUUUCCCAUCCCAUUCCAUCACAGUGAGCUACAUUAAUAGUUUGUGCUUUUGGGUUUUUUCUCCUUGUUUUUUUUCCUGUAACUUUUGCUGGAAUUUGAAUGUACUCGUUCUUUGAUAAAGCAGUUGUUAUUUGUUGACUUUAUAACUUAAUGAAUAUGACCUUCUUUAUGUCCCUUUCUGGCCAGGAAGAGAGAGAGAGAGAACAUCAAAUACAGCUUCUGCUUGAGAUCAUCUCAAACAUGCAAAAAUGAGCAGCCAGGGUUUUUUUAUUAUUCAGUUGAAAUAAGGUCCUUCAAGAGGAGUCCUGACCUCACUGAGUCAUCUUUUCUUCCUAGUCAGCAAUAACUUCUGAUACUUUUUAAACAAGUGACUGUGUUCUUCAGCAGUGGAGCCUUCAUGUUUUUCUGACAGACACUAAUGCAGUGUCUUUGGAAUGCAGUGGUGGUUGUGUGUGUUAUGGCACAGCACCCUGUCACUGACCUGUAACAGAACAACCCAAAUCUCAUGUUCUGCAAGGCAGAAGCACCUGUAGUUCUAGGUGAGAUGUGCUCACCCUCACACACCCCUUUUUGUAAGAGCUAAUGGCAGUCUUUGUCUUUCUCAGAACGGAGCGUCAAUACCGGGAUCUGUCCCACUGCCUUACUCUGCUUCCAAUCUCAGAAGGGGGCCUUCACAAGCUGCAGGACAACUUUGACUGCUUUGCAGAUAAGCUCCAAGAUCAAGCU
Molecule: RNA transcript, 5473 nt
Organism: Myiozetetes cayanensis
Lineage: Eukaryota; Metazoa; Chordata; Aves; Passeriformes; Tyrannidae
Gene: NCAPD2
Gene name: non-SMC condensin I complex subunit D2
Exons: 28
Source: RefSeq, a predicted model, not a curated record